Molecule: unclassified non-coding RNA, 346 nt
Filed under: soil metagenome
Description: partial contains 5.8S ribosomal RNA, internal transcribed spacer 2, and large subunit ribosomal RNA
Rfam family: 5.8S ribosomal RNA (bases 1-121)
Source: RNAcentral
GAUGAAGAACGCAGCGAAAUGCGAUAAGUAAUGCGAAUUGCAGAAUUUCCGUGAGUCAUCGAAUCUUUGAACGCACAUUGCGCCCAUUGGCAUUCCGAUGGGCAUGCCUGUUCGAGCGUCAUUUCAACCCUCAAGCCCAUCUGGACUUGGUGUUGGGGAUCAGCUUUCCCUGUGGGAGCUGGCCCUUAAAUCUAGUGGCGGUCUCGCUGUAGCCUCCUCUGCGUAGUAGCAAUAUCUCGCAGGCGGAGAGCGGCUUGACCACGCCGUUAAACCCCCAAUUUAUCAAGGUUGACCUCGGAUCAGGUAGGAAUACCCGCUGAACUUAAGCAUAUCAAUAAGCGGAGGA